UGGGGAAUAUUGGACAAUGGGCGAAAGCCUGAUCCAGCAAUGCCGCGUGAGUGAUGAAGGCCUUAGGGUUGUAAAGCUCUUUUACCCGGGAAGAUAAUGACUGUACCGGGAGAAUAAGCCCCGGCUAACUCCGUGCCAGCAGCCGCGGUAAUACGGAGGGGGCUAGCGUUGUUCGGAAUUACUGGGCGUAAAGCGCACGUAGGCGGUUUUGUAAGUUAGAGGUGAAAGCCUGGGGCUCAACCCCAGAAUUGCCUUUAAGACUGCAUCACUUGAACGUCGGAGAGGUGAGUGGAAUUCCGAGUGUAGAGGUGAAAUUCGUAGAUAUUCGGAAGAACACCAGUGGCGAAGGCGGCUCACUGGACGACUGUUGACGCUGAGGUGCGAAAGCGUGGGGAGCAAA
This 400-nucleotide ribosomal RNA is filed under the name uncultured bacterium. RNAcentral describes it as "bacterial SSU rRNA". It matches the Rfam family "Bacterial small subunit ribosomal RNA", at positions 355 to 772 of the family's 1533-position model. The record is from RNAcentral.